UGUAAAAUCCUACAGUCAUUCUUCCACACAUAAAGGGAAAACGGACUCACUAGGAGGACCUAGACUCUUUCAGCUUGAACUGUUAACCAAUGGUGGAAAUGCAAGAAUGCUGAAGUUGUGCCUUCAGAGCCAAUAGAGUGGAUUUGUGUGUCCCACAUGACUGUGUUUCCCCUGUCUUUCACAUGGGCAGUAUUUAGUUCAAUUCAGAACUGCAGAUAGUAUAGCGUGCAGAGCAGCAAUGGGAUGUCUGAGCACAAGUGGCUGACUUCCAGGCGACUUCAAGAAGCACCUUUGCACAUUUCUCCUGAAUUAAACUGGAAUUCUGCACCCUUGACAUCCUCCCACUCUCCUGGUGUCUGCGGAAGGAAACAGCGACCUGCACAGCACAACAAAACUACAAAUCAUCACUGCUCUACAGACAAGCAAAUGAAGUGAGCUGAGGGCAAUUUAACUACCGCCUUCUGUGUCAGUUCCCCAGAAGUCAAUGAGGCAUACCAUCGGGUCUCCAAGAGGAGCAUCCAGAUGCCAGCUGGUGGAAAGGCAGAUGCUACUGAUUUCAAAGGAGUUGCACCAGUUUACACUGAGAGUCUGAUCCCAAGUGCAUUACAGCUAUUUUUAGGCACUAGCAUUGGAAUUCACUUCAGUGACAAUUAAAAAUACAUCCAUGCAUUGCAUUACAUCCUGUCCCCAAGUGGAAGCCUGUUGACAGGCUGUGGGAGAGGGCAAGUGAAAGGAGCCGAGAACUAUAUACAUGAGAUAACUUUGUAAUAUGAGUAUUAACCCUAAUUUUCAGUUGUCUUUUUGAUACAAAUGACUAUUUGCCUUCAGGAAAAGCCUCAGCUCCAUCUUCCAGUAACAAUUCAAUACUAGCAAAGGAAAAACAAAACAAGCCACAAUCCUACAGACCACAUAGAUUGUCUAAGUAUGUUUGAAAAGACUUAUCAUCUAAAAUUGUAAGGAACCCCCAAACCUGAGACCUGUUUGUUCAACUAAGUAUUUGUUCCUAAGGGAUUGCACUGCUGAACAAGCAGUAAGAUUGUUAAAAAUAUUGAAACAGCUGUUGGAAGCUCUAUUUCAGCAAGCAGUUAAUGUGGGGGAGGGAGAAACAAGAAAGGAAGAGGUGGAGCGAUAAGCAAGGCAGAGCAGUACUUCACAGCUCCAGCCCUUUAAAUAGGGAGAGGAGACUAAAUAGUAAAUUGAUUUACAUAGAGCAGCUGUUAAACAUGAACAUAUUGUGUAACAAAAUCUAGUUACCAUUAUUAACCAGUAUAAUGAAUAUUUGUCUUUUGAUUCAAGAUAGCAAGGUCAAAAUGGAAAAGCUAACUAAUUAGAACUGAAGAUGCAGCUCACAGAGCAACUGAAGUAAUUGUUUGUUUGUGCAGCACAACACCCGUAUCUUCAAUUUAGGUCAGGCCAUCAAGAGGAGGAAAAAGGACUGAAGAUGAGAUGCUCUACUUCACACAGUUGCCCUCUGGAAGGGCUGGCAAAGGCAGUCACUUAAAUUAAGUACAGGUCAUCAGACAGGAUAUCUAAUCUAUUCCUAAAACAGGCAGCUCUAGCAGACCAAAUCCCCACGGCCUUUACAGCAACACAACGAACUACUUCCUCAUGUACCUCUGUCAAUUCACGUUAAGUUCCUAUUUUUUUUAAAGCGAUAUUUCAUGUACACCAUGACCCUAUUGCUCACAGCAAGCGAAGUGCUUUGGUUUAUUUAUGACCUACUAACCUUAAAUAAAAAAACCAUACAUCCAAUCUGAAUGUUCACAUAAGCCUGCAGAUCUGAAAUAAAACUUAAAAUAAAGCUGGCAUUUGUAAUAGCUAGCUAAGCCCAGUAAGGGAUUUAGAAAAAAAAUUAAAAUUAAAACCAGAUGAGAGAAGAUGAAAGCAUUUUUACCCUGCAUAACCUGCACACAUCAUGAAUGAUGGCUAGAGCUCAGGAAUACUUUUUUGUGUUUUUGUACUUACAAGUUUCAGCCCACUUCAACAGUGGCUAGGUAACCAAGGAAAUACUGAGGUUUUCCCAUUACAGGGUUGGGACGGAAUAAUAAUAACCCGUGAAAGUAAUUCCUUUUAAGAUGCAAUCCAUCCAGCCAUGAGCUCUACACAGCUCCUCUCUUUCCCUUACACCCCAUCCUAACUGCCAGGUAUCAGUCUGGCAAGACCUCAUACUGAAAUAUGAUGUGACAGAGGGAAGCAGGGAAUAAGACUAUAGGAAUAAGUACUGAAAUAAAUGGCUUACAGAAAGAAAGCUUAUAGCAGGGAAUACGUUAAACACAAGUGAUCCUAUAUAUAUUUUAUUAGAACAACGUUGAACAGAUGCAGAUGCGCAGAAGACUAUUCAGUUGAAGAGGUUUAUUCUCUCACAGCUCAUGCUGGCGUAAAGGACUCCCUUCCUCUGCAUCCAUGGAGUUGAACUGUGAUAUGGUCGGUACAAACAAGUGGAAAAAAAAAAAUCAAGCUUCAGACCUAAAAUACCAGCAGCAAACAUCAGCACAAAAAGGAGGGAGGGAGCAUCUCUGCCACAGUUCCACAGUUCUAGUUGGAACUAGAACUCAGAGAUAUUCAUAAUCACAGUGGCAUUCCUAAACAAACAAACAAAAAACCUACCAUAAAGGAGAAAUUCUUUAAAUUCCACUCUUCUGUAGUUCUCCAGCAGGAUAUAUUAAUGCCUCUGCUCUUUAGAUAUAUUUGAUAGAAAUACAGUUAUCUGUACAUGAAGAACAAUUCAUUGAAAGAAACAGAUACAACGAAGUUCUUGUCACCACAUUUGUUUAAAAAAGUAUAUAUGCAGGCAGCAUAUUUAUGACCUGAAGUCCUUUGGUGCUGGUUCUCUUUAUGGUAAAAUAAACAAAAUUAACAGAAAACAUUUUAUAAAGAUUUUCCUUUAAAUGUGGAAAGCAACGAGAGAGUACAAGACUAGCUCAUCCUCUGGUAAAAGAUUUUAAAAGUAGCAGCUCCUAGAAGCCAGUGAAUCAGUCACAGUUUCAGUGCAGCAAUGUAAGAGCAGCCCUAACUAAAGCAACUCAGACCAACAAAGCUGCAAGAGAACAACCUUCUGCAGGAGAACUGCUAACAAGCACAAGUAAGGUAAAAUUCCUGUGUCGCCGUUUUGUGCCUUCUGCUACAGCCCCAGCAAUUCUUUCUGUAAAACAUUACAAUCGUAACCCUAUACAUAGUUUGUGUGUAAAAAAUUAUACAUGUGUAUAUACAGAGUUAGAAGUACGGGGAAAAAUUAAUUGGAAAGCUCAGAUGCUAGCAAAAAUAGCUUGUGCUACUGUGGAAAUUGUUAUGGACUUUGUAAUGAUCAAGUUGUGGGUAUAAACACAUGAAAGGAAAUUUAGGUCAUCAAACCCUGAUAUAAACUCAACAAGAGGUGAAUACUGACAAAUUUUACUCUAUUUACUUUAUAUUCUUACUCUAUUGGACAAAGUAUAAACCGUAACACUGAUUCACGAUACUCUUGGCAGGAUCUGUAAAUAUACAGAUGAAAUCUUGUGUUUUGGUCUGCUAUGAAGUUCAGUUUUGUAGUAACAAGGACAACAUUAAUGCACUUCUGCCUGGAUGCCCAACUAUAUAGAUAAAGCCUGAAUAAGUGAAAUAUAUUUUCUUUUCAAGGACAUAUGGGAAGCUGCCAGCUCCACGCAUGAAGAAGGAAAUGGGAUGGGCAGAGAAGGGUGAUGAUAUUGGUAAGAGAACAAUGACUGAAAUUGCAUCAUCUGUAUGAUGAAAAUAAUCGUGUCAAUUUUGAUUUUCCCCCCUCCUUCCAGACAUUUAAGGAUGCCGUCAAGUCAAUGGAGUUCUCUUGUAGUGGUUGCUUCAGUGAACAUUCAACGCUGUCGGCCUUCACACCGAAGAUAGAAACCUAACCAGCACAUGAGGUUUCUCCCCUACUCUGCCACGCUUUACAAAAAAGGUCACAAUCAACAUUCAUUGCUGUCGGUGGGUUUAACUAUGUGGACAAGCUCACUGAACAAUGAAUGCAACUGUGGCCCCACAUUUUACAGGUGCAAUUGGGAGGAAGAUCAGCUCUGAAAGGAAUAGUGAGAAGCAGACACUUGUUAUAGGUUACAUUUUUCUGGUCAAGAAGUAGUUGAGGAUAUUCAAUUUUCACUUGUUCAUUUUUAAGGGCGUUUAACUAUGUUGACUGAAAAAAAUAGCACUGCCUUUUUCUGGACUAUCACCCUCCCAGGGUUCAGCAUCAUUGAAACCAUGAUAAUUCUUGUUCAGUUAGCAUAUGGAAACAAGUAAUAAUAUAGAGAACUUUAUAUGUAUAUAUAUACACACACAUACACUCCUCAGGACUUGAAGCAUAAGAAGGAAGAGUAUAUAAACCUCAUCUUAACUAGGUUUUGUGGAAUAGUUUUCAAAAAUCUAUACUUGUCAAGAAAAAAACAGAAACAGGAGUCAGAAUUCAGAGAUAUGGAUAAAAUAUUAUAUCAAAAAGAAUUAGGUAGUUUAACAUGAAAGUGAUCUUACUUAAAGAAAUGGUAUUAGACAGCAAGUAUUAUUACAUUUGCCAUAUUACAGAAAUAGAUGUAUACCCAGUAAUUAUCAAGCACUAGUUAAAUUGUAAAAUUAAUCUAAACUUUGGGUACUUGUGUCACACUCAGUAUUGCUAACAGUAAUGAAAAAAUAAAAGAG
This is a long non-coding RNA of Numida meleagris (helmeted guineafowl), 4641 nucleotides long. RefSeq lists it as uncharacterized. The transcript has 4 exons. The record is from RefSeq and is a predicted model, not a curated record. Lineage: Eukaryota; Metazoa; Chordata; Aves; Galliformes; Numididae.